Molecule: ribosomal RNA, 497 nt
Filed under: uncultured bacterium
Lineage: Bacteria
Description: partial 16S ribosomal RNA
Rfam family: Bacterial small subunit ribosomal RNA
Source: RNAcentral
GAUGAACGCUGGCGGCGUGCCUAAUACAUGCAAGUCGAGCGAACAGACGAGGAGCUUGCUCCUCUGACGUUAGCGGCGGACGGGUGAGUAACACGUGGAUAACCUACCUAUAAGACUGGGAUAACUUCGGGAAACCGGAGCUAAUACCGGAUAAUAUAUUGAACCUCAUGGUUCAAUAGUGAGAGACGGUUUUUCUGUCACUUAUAGAUUGAUCCGCGCCGCAUUAGCUAGUUGGUAAGGUAACGGCUUACCAAGGCAACGAUGCGUAGCCGACCUGAGAGGGAGGUCGGACACCCUGGAACUGAGAAACGGUCCAGACUCCUACGGGAGGAAGCAGUAGGGAAUCUUACGCAAUGGGCGAAAGCCUGACGGAGCAACGCCGCGUGAGUGAUGAAGGUCUUCGGAUCGUAAAACUCUGUUAUUAGGGAAGAACAAAUGUGUAAGUAACUAUGCACGUCUUGACGGUACCUGAUCAGAAAGCCACGGCUAACUACGUG